AAUUUUGGACAACGGGCGCAAGCCUGAUCCAGCCAUGCCGCGUGAGUGAAGAAGGCCUUCUGGUUGUAAAGCACUUUCGUACGGAAAGAAAUUGCGCAGGAUGAUACCCUGCGAGAAUGACGGUACCGUCAUAAUAAGUACUGGCUAACUCCGUGACAGAGGCCGCGGUAAUACGUAGGGUGCGAACGUUAACGGGAAUUACUGGGCGGAAAGCGUGCGCAGGCGGUUAAUUAAGACAGGCGUGAAAUCCCCGGGCUUAACCUGGGAACUGCGCUUGUGACUGGUCAGCUAGAGUACGGCAGAGGGGGGUGGAAUUCCACGUGUAGCAGUGAAAUGCGUAGAGAUGUGGAGGAACACCGAUGGCGAAGGCAGCCCCCUGGGCCGAUACUGACGCUCAUGCACGAAAGCGUGGGUAGCAAACAGG
This 424-nucleotide ribosomal RNA is filed under the name uncultured bacterium. Its description in RNAcentral is "partial 16S ribosomal RNA". It matches the Rfam family "Bacterial small subunit ribosomal RNA", at positions 360 to 776 of the family's 1533-position model. The record is from RNAcentral.